RNAcentral lists this ribosomal RNA (449 nucleotides) under uncultured bacterium. Its description in RNAcentral is "partial 16S ribosomal RNA". It matches the Rfam family "Bacterial small subunit ribosomal RNA", at positions 29 to 523 of the family's 1533-position model. The record is from RNAcentral.
AACGAACGCUGGCGGCAUGCCUAACACAUGCAAGUCGAACGAGAUCUUCGGGUCUAGUGGCGCACGGGUGCGUAACGCGUGGGAAUCUGCCCUUUGGUUCGGAAUGACAGUUGGAAACGACUGCUAAUACCGGAUGAUGACGAAAGUCCAAAGAUUUAUCGCCAGAGGAUGAGCCCGCGUAGGAUUAGCUAGUUGGUGUGGUAAAGGCGCACCAAGGCGACGAUCCUUAGCUGGUCUGAGAGGAUGAUCAGCCACACUGGGACUGAGACACGGCCCAGACUCCUACGGGAGGCAGCAGUGGGGAAUAUUGGACAAUGGGCGAAAGCCUGAUCCUGCAAUGCCGCGUGAGUGAUGAAGGCCUUAGGGUUGUAAAGCUCUUUUACCCGGGAUGAUAAUGACAGUACCGGGAGAAUAAGCUCCGGCUAACUCCGUGCCAGCCGCCGCAGUAA